AGUGGAAUUGCUGGGAUAUAACUCUGUGUUUAAUCUUUUGAGAAACUGCCAAACUGUUUUCUAAAGCAGCUGUAUUUUCAUGUUCUCAUUGGCAGU
This 96-nucleotide microRNA precursor is filed under the name Marmota monax (woodchuck). The record is from RNAcentral. Lineage: Eukaryota; Metazoa; Chordata; Mammalia; Rodentia; Sciuridae.